UCAUAGCGACUAUCGUGGCAUAUCAAUAAGCGGAGGAAAAGAAACUAACAAGGAUUCCCCUAGUAACGGCGAGUGAAGCGGGAAGAGCUCAAAUUUGAAAUCUUCAAGGGUCCUACCUUGACGAAUUGUAGUUUAAAGAAGUGUUUUCUGUUGGAGUUUCGGUAAAAGUUCUUUGGAAUAGGACAUCAGUAGAGGGUGAGAAUCCCGUAUUUGACCGUUACUUUCCAGCUGUGUGAUACACUUUCAAAGAGUCGGAUUGUUUGGGAAUGCAGUCCAAAGAUGGGUGGUAAAUUUCAUCUAAAGCUAAAUAUUGGCGAGAGACCGAUAGCGAACAAGUACCGUGAGGGAAAGAUGAAAAGAACUUUGAAAAGAGAGUUAAACAGUACGUGAAAUUGUCAAAAGGGAAGCGUUUGACACCAGUGUUGUUUCGUCGAAAAUCAAUUAAAAAUGGCUUGAUUUUGUGUUGUAUUGACUUUAUCGGCUUUCUGCACUUUUUUCAUGUCUUUUUUAAUGCACUUUUCGUUUAACAAGUCAACAUCAAUUUCUUUUGUUGUAAAAGGGUAAGAGGAAGGUGGCUUACGCUUCGGCGUAAGUGUUUAUAGCCUUUUACCUCUGCAAUCGGAGAGAUUGAGGACAGCAGCGUAGACUCUUCGGGGUUAGAUACACUUGUGCUAAGCUAUAGCCUUGUAUAGACAACUUGUUGACUAUGCUCAGUCAUGUAGCUUACUCGCUUGUGCUAUUUUACCUACGCUUAGGAUGUUGACGCGCGUGUGUGCGUG
Molecule: ribosomal RNA, 779 nt
Filed under: uncultured Neocallimastigales
Lineage: Eukaryota; Fungi; Neocallimastigomycota; Neocallimastigomycetes; Neocallimastigales
Description: partial large subunit ribosomal RNA
Rfam family: Eukaryotic large subunit ribosomal RNA
Source: RNAcentral